This 466-nucleotide ribosomal RNA is filed under the name uncultured bacterium. RNAcentral describes it as "bacterial SSU rRNA". It matches the Rfam family "Bacterial small subunit ribosomal RNA", at positions 29 to 506 of the family's 1533-position model. The record is from RNAcentral.
ACGAACGCUAGCGGCGUGCCUAAGAAAUGCAAGUCGAGCGAGGUUAGAGAGCUUGCUCUCGAAGCCUAGCGGCGAACGGUCGCGUAACACGUAAGCAACCUGCCCCAAAGCGGGGGAUAGCCCUCUGAAAGGAGGAUUAAUACCGCAUGUGGACACUUUAUUGCAUGAUUGAGUGUCUAAAGCAGCAAUGCACUUUGGGAUGGGCUUGCGGCCUAUCAGCUAGUUGGCGAGGUAACGGCUCACCAAGGCGACGACGGGUAGCUGGUCUGAGAGGAUGGUCAGCCGGACUGGGACUGAGAUACGGCCCAGACUCCUACGGGGGGCAGCAAUUAGGAAUCUUGCGCAAUGGGCGAAAGCCUGACGCAGCGACGCCGCGUGACUGAUGAAGUCUUUCGGGAUGUAAAGGUCUUUUUUGGGGGAAGAAGGAUGUGACGGUACCCCAAGAAUAAGCCCCGGCUAACUACGU